CUUGGGAUUGUCCCACUGGGAAUGCCCAGGGCCCCCUGAAAUCUUGGGAUUGUCCCAUUGGGACUGCCCAAAGCCCCCUGAAAUAAAUCCUGGGAUUGUCCCAGUGGGAUUGCCCCAGAGCCCUCUGAAAUAAAUCCUGGGAUUGUCCCAGUGGGAUUGCCCCAAAGCCCCCUGAAAUAAAUCCUGGGAUUGUCCCAGUGGGAUUGCCCCAAAGCCCCCUGAAAUAAAUCCUGGGAUUGUCCCAGUGGGAUUGCCCCAGAGCCCUCUGAAAUAAAUCCUGGGAUUGUCCUUCUAGAACUGCUCCAGGGCCCCUUGAAACAAAUCCUGGAAUUCUCCCACUGGGACUGCCCUAUGGCCACCUGAAAUCCUGGGGUUCCCCCAGUCAUUCUCCCAUAAAUCUGGAGUCACCUUGGCUUGGAGCUGAGCGUUGGAUUUUUGUGGGGGUUCGGGUCAUGCAAAGCCAGGAGUGGCUGCAGCUGGGAGGGAACGAGUGGGAAUUUCUCUCUGUUUCAGAUGCCCCUGGGUAAAGCAGCUCUGCACCUUUUUCCACGAGUCAGGGUUGGGGCAGCUCCCCUUUGGCACCACAGUUCACCAGGAAGUUUCCAAGUUCGUCAGUGCUUUUGAGAAGCUCUGAUUGGGACCAAAUCCUCAGGAAUAUUUUCUCCGUUGGUUUUUCACCCAAGCAGUCUCUUCCUGGAGAGUUCUUUGGGUUUGCUUUGGUUGUCACCUCCAGGAAGAGUCAGCUAAAAACUGGGACUGGCUCUGGAACAGAACAUUUGGGGAGUUUCUUGCAGUUCCACAUAUUCAGGAGUUGUUGGAAGAGGCAGCAGCUUGGAGUUGUUUUCAGAAGCUGAGAAAAGCAGGGAUGGAGCAGGAAGCAGCAGAGAAUUCUUCCUCCUGUUGGGACACAAACCUUGCAAGAGGCAAAUGCUGAGAGGGGAAAAACUUAAACCAGGCA
This 958-nucleotide long non-coding RNA is filed under the name Lonchura striata (white-rumped munia). RNAcentral's name for it is "domestica (Bengalese finch) lncRNA (ENSLSDG00000001067.1)". Lineage: Eukaryota; Metazoa; Chordata; Aves; Passeriformes; Estrildidae. The record is from RNAcentral.